Molecule: long non-coding RNA, 1000 nt
Organism: Salvia miltiorrhiza (redroot sage)
Lineage: Eukaryota; Viridiplantae; Streptophyta; Magnoliopsida; Lamiales; Lamiaceae
Exons: 4
Source: RefSeq, a predicted model, not a curated record
UUCUUAAUAUUUACGUAUAGCGAGGUCGAAUAUAUUGAAGAAUAGGAUAGCAAAUUUCCUUUCUUACCAUGUUUCAUAUGGCAACGUAUUGUUUGAAAGUUAAAAACAAUAAUUUCUUGCCUUUUCAAUUCGUUUUGGGAAGGAAUUUAGAUAGCAGAUUUUGUCUUCUCAAUAUAUUCCCUCUUCCUCAAGAAACUAAUGGAAGGAAACUUUCUGUAUAUGAAUACAAUGCUUAACUAUAUAAAGAGGUUCAUAGCAAAGGAUUUUACACACAAAUUGAAACAGUAGCUACAUAUAACAACUCAUUCCUUCGAUUUAGUUUCUUUGGUGGUAAUUUGUUCCAAUUCCGGUUUCAUUAUAUUGAAAAACUUUAAUGAUGGGGAUGUGGUCACUCUUCAACGAGCUUCACCCUUUGUCAAUGACACCUACAGUUAAAGCGAGACUGAUAAGAUCUUAUGGCAUGCCUUCAACCAAAAAUGAUGAGUUAAAUAGUUUUGAAUGCAUAUUCCAUGAUAUAGAGGGAACUAGGUAUCAUUUCACGGCAUCAAAAUUUAUAAUAUCUAAGUUGAUCUCUAAAUUUGAAGAAGGAUGGCUUUAUGCUAUACGGAACUUCGGUGUUACACAUAAUCAUUCAAAGUUUAGAGUUACGUCACAUAAGUACAAAGCAACUUUUUAUGGAAACACACAAGUUAGAGUUGAAACUAAUACAAUGUUUCCUAAUAUCAUUUAUGCAUUCAAGACCUUUGAUGAUAUUCAAUCGAUUGAAAACAUUGCGGAUGCUGUUCCAAUUGAUGUUAUAGGCAAAGUCGCCUCGAAGCCUAAUCCAACAAAACAGAUAACUCGAGAUGGUAAAGAAAAAAAAUAUUGGAUCUUACUCUUAUUGAUAUCGAGUGAGUAUUUAUGUAUAUAUUUUUUGGUCAUUCUUUCUUUGUUAUUAAAUUAACUUUUGUUGUUCUUGCAAUAUUGUAUAAUAUUUAUUAAAGGGGAAAGACAAUAUCUU